RNAcentral lists this small RNA (549 nucleotides) under Pan troglodytes (chimpanzee). Its description in RNAcentral is "processed transcript". The record is from RNAcentral. Lineage: Eukaryota; Metazoa; Chordata; Mammalia; Primates; Hominidae.
CACACACACUAACCUAACCAUCUUGGGGUGGACUCCCUGCCAGCCCAACUGUUGUAUUUUCAGUUCUUCCAGUGUGAAUCAGUUAAUAUUCUCGGGAACGAGGGAGAGGUUGAUCCUAUGAGGAAAUCAACCACAGUGAAAAGGCUUGGGCCGCUUUUGUUUUCACCUCCUUUUGUUGAACAAAUUUGAUUUCCGGAGUCAGUCAUUUUACUGUCAAGACAUUUCUUCGGCAUUCUGCAACAGCAUGGGGAUGCUUUGGAGAACGGAAGGAUUUUAUUGAGUCCAAAGGACACUCACCUCUGGGCCUCUCAGCCUCCUUGGCCACAUGGUUGUUCUGCUACUGAGAGUCUGCAGAUGAGCUGGUGGUUUCUCCAAGCUUCCGAGAGCUCUCUCAGUUUCCAACGUGGCUAGAUCCAUCAGAAACUGAAGCCGUGGAGAACGCUCUCGGGGCCUUUGCCACUUCUUGGAGUAGAAGCCGACAGAGAGCUGUUUGGAAACUUCUCCUUCACACACCAGUUGAAGACUAGGCUUUGGAGGUUUUCAAAGCAG